Molecule: unclassified non-coding RNA, 548 nt
Filed under: Hevea brasiliensis (rubber tree)
Lineage: Eukaryota; Viridiplantae; Streptophyta; Magnoliopsida; Malpighiales; Euphorbiaceae
Source: RNAcentral
GUUCUUGUUCUCGCUAACAUAAACAACCUGUAGAGGCAUCAUAAGCCACGGGAAGAACUCGAAAAAGGGGGCUUCGUUUAGUUUUGGCAGUGGAACUCUGCAAGGACAUUUGCUGGCUGGUGAAGAACGUUUUUCAAUAGCAUUGGACGAAAAUGAUCUAGUUUGGUACGAGAUACUUUCCUUCUCGAAGCCUGCACAUUUGCUGUCACUCUUUGGAUACCCUUAUGUUCUUCUAAGGCAAAAGUACUUUGCUCAUCAAUCAGGUAGUGCGGUGAAGAAACAUUUAUCUGCUUAAAACAUGUGAGGCUAUAACUGUGUGUGAACAGGAACUCUUUGUUGUAAAAGAUUCCCAUCCAUAGUUAUGUUGGGUCUUCAUUUCAUGUAUAUUUCUUUGCAUUAUAUGCACGACCUAGUUACUAAUAAUGCAAUUCUAGUCCUUGUUAAAGAAAAAUGUAAUUGUAGUCCAAUAGCUGGAUAAUCAGUGUGAUUUAAUUAAGUGAAUGCAUAGAAGAAAAACUAUGCAUAAGAACCCAAUAGCGAGAAUCAUU